Molecule: ribosomal RNA, 380 nt
Filed under: uncultured eukaryote
Lineage: Eukaryota
Description: partial 18S ribosomal RNA
Rfam family: Eukaryotic small subunit ribosomal RNA
Source: RNAcentral
CAACAGCGUAUAUUAAAGUUGUUGCAGUUAAAACGCUCGUAGUCGGAUUUCGGGGCGGGCGGGCCGGUCUGCCGAUGGGUAUGCACUGGUCUGGCCGUCUUUCCUUCCGGAGACCGUGCGUGCUCUUAACUGAGUGCGCUCGGGAGACGGAUCGUUUACUUUGAAAAAAUCAGAGUGUUUCAAGCAGGCAGCUCGCUCUUGCAUGGAUUAGCAUGGGAUAAUGAAAUAGGACUUUGGUGCUAUUUUGUUGGUUUCGAACACCGAAGUAAUGAUUAACAGGGACAGUCAGGGGCACUCGUAUUCCGCCGAGAGAGGUGAAAUUCUCAGACCAGCGGAAGACGAACCACUGCGAAAGCAUUUGCCAGGGAUGUUUUCACUGA